UAGCAUAUCAAUAAGCGGAGGAAAAGAAACCAACCGGGAUUGCCUCAGUAACGGCGAGUGAAGCGGCAAGAGCUCAAAUUUGAAAGCUGGCCCCCUCGGGGUCCGCGUUGUAAUUUGCAGAGGAUGCUUCGGGUGUGGCCCCCGUCUAAGUGCCCUGGAACGGGCCGUCAUAGAGGGUGAGAAUCCCGUCUGGGACGGGGUGUCCGCGCCCGUGUGAAGCUCCUUCGACGAGUCGAGUUGUUUGGGAAUGCAGCUCUAAAUGGGUGGUAAAUUUCAUCUAAAGCUAAAUACUGGCCGGAGACCGAUAGCGCACAAGUAGAGUGAUCGAAAGAUGAAAAGCACUUUGAAAAGAGAGUUAAAAAGCACGUGAAAUUGUUGAAAGGGAAGCGCUUGCGACCAGACUCGCCUCCGGGGUUCAGCCGGCCUUAGGGCCGGUGUACUUCCCCGGGGGCGGGCCAGCGUCGGUUUGGGCGGCCGGUCAAAGGCCCCUGGAAUGUAGUGCCCCCCGGGGCACCUUAUAGCCAGGGGUGCAAUGCGGCCUGCCCGGACCGAGGAACGCGCUCCGGCACGGACGCUGGCAUAAUGGUCGUAAACGACCCGUCUUGAAACACGGACCAAGGAGUCUAACAUCUACGCGAGUGUUCGGGUGUCAAACCCGUGCGCGCAGUGAAAGCGAACGGAGGUGGGAGCCCCUUCAGGGGGCGCACCAUCGACCGAUCCUGAUGUCUUCGGAUGGAUUUGAGUACGAGCGCAGAUGUGGGGACCCGAAAGAUGGUGAACUAUGCCUGAAUAGGGUGAAGCCAGAGGAAACUCUGGUGGAGGCUCGCAGCGGUUCUGACGUGCAAAUCGAUCGUCAAAUUUGGGUAUAGGGGCGAAAGACUAAUCGAACCAUCUAGUAGCUGGUUCCUGCCGA
RNAcentral lists this ribosomal RNA (913 nucleotides) under Aspergillus avenaceus. RNAcentral describes it as "LSU rRNA". It matches the Rfam family "Eukaryotic large subunit ribosomal RNA", at positions 36 to 964 of the family's 3401-position model. Lineage: Eukaryota; Fungi; Ascomycota; Eurotiomycetes; Eurotiales; Aspergillaceae. The record is from RNAcentral.